GGGGUUGCGCCUGGACCCGCAUAAUUCCGUAAUCAUUUUUCAGACACUGCUGUCGACGUCCAGCGUGUAUGACCAGGUUGUUAAAGACUGGGCGAUUUUUGUUCAUACAAACUGGAUUUCUGCGAGGUUCAAUUUAACCCCGUGCGGCUCGUCACGUUUCUUUUACCGAAAAAAAGUACCUUUCUGGAGAGCCUGCCGUCAGCUGGGUACUGCUCUCUAUUUCGAGACCGAAAAGGUCAAGUGGGUGGCUCAGCAAUGUGUGACACUACAAAAACUGUCUCCUAAUGAAACACCCAGAAAGAGCUUCACAGGUACCAGAACUUGAAGGAAGAGGAGGGGUUGCUUCUGUCACCGUUCUUCCCUACAUUCUUCGUAUAUAGCUCCCACCACUGGCCUCUGUUCUGGGGGAGGAAGGCUUGUCAUGUGGACUGAGAGCUGCUGAAUGACAUGGUGGUAUCUAUUUAUGUGCUUGUGGGAUGGAGAGCAGAGCUGAGCAGGCAGUGCACACACCUCGCCGGGGCACAUAGCAACAUUAGAAAAAUUUGAAUUCUUAUGCAGAAGAGAAUUCCACCUAGAAUGUGUCUUACCUACAUAAAGCCUCCUGAAGUAUCAUAGCUACUACAAGGUUAGUGAAGCUCUGUAUUAUUUCUUGUAAAACACUUGAUGUGAAACACUGUGCUGUAUCUUUUCCAGGUAUUCUCAUUGUUGUUAUUAUAAACAGCAAACAAUGUAUGUUUGCUAACAUUAUUACUAUGAUUUUUUUUGUAGGAAUUAGACCUCACUAGAAAUCAGAAGCAGGAUUGGUUUUGUGUACUGAUAAAUUAUUAAACGCAGUAAUACAUAGCAAGAUUACAUGCCAACCCACAGAAAUCCUUCAGAGUUGUUAUUUUUAACCUGUGUCAAUGAACAGUUUAUUCUGAACCAUUUCAAAUGUGUAUGCAUAUGCAUUAUAUACAUGUAUAUUAUAUAUAUAUAGGUAGUGACAAAGCAAGUAGUUUAAUACAUUUUAUGGCUCCAGCCUGGAGUUCUGCAUACAGGAACCUGUGUGUGGUCAAGGAGGCUUGCAUACUUUUGAACUCUAAGUUGGCCUAAUAAAAGAUAUCAUACUACAGUGCUUGCUUUGUCA
Molecule: long non-coding RNA, 1126 nt
Filed under: Parus major (Great Tit)
Lineage: Eukaryota; Metazoa; Chordata; Aves; Passeriformes; Paridae
Description: lncRNA (ENSPMJG00000014943.1)
Source: RNAcentral